RNAcentral lists this ribosomal RNA (969 nucleotides) under uncultured bacterium. RNAcentral describes it as "bacterial SSU rRNA". It matches the Rfam family "Bacterial small subunit ribosomal RNA", at positions 48 to 1009 of the family's 1533-position model. The record is from RNAcentral.
GAUAGGCAUGCAAGUUCGAGCGAGAAUCGGUCUUCGGAUCGAGGACAGCGGCGAACGGGGUAGGAAUACCUCGGUGACGUACCCUCCGGUCGGGGAUAGCGGCGGGAAACUGCCGGUAAUACCCGAUGAUCUUCCUUGAUUUUAUCUUAGGGAAGCAAAGGUGUGAUUCCGUCGGAGGAGCGGCUGAGGUCGUAUUAGCUAGUUGGUAGGGUAAUGGCUUACCAAGGCGAUGAUGCGUAGGGGGUGUGAGAGCAUGGCCCCCACCACUGGCACUGAGACACUGGCCAGACACCUACGGGUGGCUGCAGUCGAGAAUCUUCGGCAAUGGGCGCAAGCCUGACCGAGCGACGCCGCGUGCGGGAUGAAGGUCUUCGGAUUGUAAACCGCUGUCGGAGGGGAUGAAAUGCCGGUGGGUACUCCCAUCGGUUUGACAGAGCCUCGGAGGAAGCACGGGCUAAGUUCGUGCCAGCAGCCGCGGUAAUACGAACUGUGCGAACGUUAUUCGGAAUCACUGGGCUUAAAGGGUGCGUAGGCGGCGGCACAAGUCAGGUGUGAAAUCCCCCGGCUCAACCGGGGAACAGCGCUUGAAACUAGGUCGCUCGAGUGAGGCAGGGGUGUAUGGAACUUCCGGUGGAGCGGUGAAAUGUGUAGAGAUCGGAAGGAACGCCGGCGGCGAAAGCGGUACACUGGGCCUUGUCUGACGCUGAGGCACGAAAGCUAGGGGAGUGAACGGGAUUAGAUACCCCGGUAAUCCUAGCCGUAAACACUGAGCACUGGAGAAGAGGGGCUUCGGCCUUUCUCCUCGCAGCGAAAGCGUUAAGUGCUCCGCCUGGGGAGUAUGGUCGCAAGGCUGAAACUCAAAGGAAUUGACGGGGGCUCACACAAGCGGUGGAGCAUGUGGCUUAAUUCGAGGCAACGCGAAGAACCUUAUCCUGGAUUUGACAUGGUCGGAUUAGCUCUCUGAAAGGA